AUACGUAGGGGGCGAGCGUUGUCCGGAAUUACUGGGCGUAAAGGGUGCGCAGGCGGCUUGACAAGUCAGAUGUGAAAAGCUACGGCUUAACCGUGGACGUGCAUAUGAAACUGUUGGGCUUGAGUGCAGGAGAGGCAAGCGGAAUUCCUAGUGUAGCGGUGAAAUGCAUAGAUAUUAGGAGGAACACCAGUGGCGAAGGCGGCUUGCUGGACUGUAACUGACGCUGAGGCACGAAAGCGUGGGGAGCAAACAGGAUUAGAUACCCUGGUAGUCCACGCUGUAAACGAUGGAUACUAGGUGUAGGAGGUAUCGACCCCUUCUGUGCCGGAGCAAACGCAAUAAGUAUCCCGCCUGGGGAGUACGGCCGCAAGGUUGAA
RNAcentral lists this ribosomal RNA (377 nucleotides) under uncultured bacterium. Its description in RNAcentral is "bacterial SSU rRNA". It matches the Rfam family "Bacterial small subunit ribosomal RNA", at positions 523 to 898 of the family's 1533-position model. The record is from RNAcentral.